UUUCAAAUGAAAUAAUUCAGUUGGCGACCAGUGAAACACAGAUCACGAUGUGCUUUCAUCAAGGAAAUAUUUUUCCUGACGGAAUUUAUGCAAUCUUCUGGGAGAAAGACACGGGAGCAGGAGACUCAUGUGGCAUCCUGAAUUAUGAAGCUUCCUUGGAAAACAGGGGGGGAAACAUCAUUACAGAGGAGGCUAAAAUUUGCUGCGAAACAGGCACAGACCUCUCAAUGCCCAACCAUGCCCUGAGGUGCUACACUGAAGUGUUGGAUACAAAACCCAGAAAAUCAACAGCCUUCAUUGCUGAUAAUCCUCAAUAUUUGGUCAGUGAAAAGAGCAACAUUGGCAUCAUCACCACAGCAAUAAUUGUGCUUUGUGCAGCAGCUCUGGCAAUGUAUUGUGUGCUACGGAGAAGAAAUGGACCUGUCAUAGUGCUUCAUCAGACUUCAUAAUGGUGAAUUACCUUGUGAAGGUGCCUCCCUGGCAACUCUAAAGGAAGCCAAUGGGAACAAGCUGAGAUGUUUGAAACAUCUACAGUUAGACAAAACACAAGGAUGUCUGAGAAAAAUGUAUGAGUGUUUGCAAAACUCAGUAAAGAUUACACUAGUCUCACUGCAGUUC
Molecule: long non-coding RNA, 618 nt
Filed under: Strigops habroptila (Kakapo)
Lineage: Eukaryota; Metazoa; Chordata; Aves; Psittaciformes; Psittacidae
Description: lncRNA (ENSSHBG00005012736.1)
Source: RNAcentral